UUUCUCUUUCUUUCAAAAUGUAUUCUUAAUGCCUGGAAGUGCCCCAGUUCUACCUGGGCAACAGAUGCUACUCUUGCCUUUGAGUAUGGAUUGGUACACUUCCUUCUAUUAAUCCCUCAGCUCUGGAUUAAUCAGUCUACCCCAAUAACUGGGAAAAAGACCACCAGAAAGCACCACGUGCAGAAGAGAUGGAGCAAGAGCAAGAAGAGCUGUACUCUGAAAGGAGCAUCCCACUCAAGACCCUCUCUUCUCCAGUGUGACCUACUUUUCAUUUCUGGCCAGGACAGCCUGAAUGAAGUGGAAGACACUCAGGACCCAGCUUUACUUCUACAAAGUCAUCUACAGGAGUUCUGUGACAAAGGAAGAGUUCAGCAACACUCAAAUGUAGCUGUCUCAGGUGAGGUGUUCAAACCAGGGCCUGCUAGAGCCCACUAGCCACAUGGACACUGCAUGGAAGAUCCUACUCCUACCACCAUGUCCCUGUAGGCUUCCCUGGCUCCUAAGAACCAGCACCUUCUGCCUCUGGCCUCCAGCCCAUCAGGAGGAGCUCAAAAAGACCAGUUCAUCUGCAUGAGAUACCUGCUGGGCAGUGACCCUCAGAGCUUCCUUCCUAGCAACUCCUAUUUACCAUCUCUCAACUCGGCCAUCUCUGGCCCUGUUCACUCUCAAGGUUUCAUUUUGUUCUUCUCAUGGUCAUGUGCAACUGAUAACACCUUACUUUUCACCACCUUGGCACAGGGCAAAGUCCAGCAAGGACAUCAUUCCUAUAACCCACCACGUGCUUUGUUCUGGGGAGACCCCCCCCGCUGGCAAGGAGAGGUUUGGGGCCUCUCUUUCAUCAAGCCAAAUAGCCAGAAGCUGCUGGUGAUACUAAUCACUGAGAGAGUGGAAAUAAUAACCUG
Long non-coding RNA from Heterocephalus glaber (naked mole-rat), 902 nucleotides. The record is from Ensembl. Lineage: Eukaryota; Metazoa; Chordata; Mammalia; Rodentia; Bathyergidae.